This 412-nucleotide ribosomal RNA is filed under the name uncultured Fastidiosipila sp. Its description in RNAcentral is "bacterial SSU rRNA". It matches the Rfam family "Bacterial small subunit ribosomal RNA", at positions 971 to 1382 of the family's 1533-position model. The record is from RNAcentral. Lineage: Bacteria; Bacillati; Bacillota; Clostridia; Eubacteriales; Oscillospiraceae.
UUACCAGGGCUUGACAUCCUCUGACGACAGUAGAGAUACUUGUUUUCCCUUCGGGUACGAGAGAGACAGGUGGUGCAUGGUUGUCGUCAGCUCGUGUCGUGAGAUGUUGGGUUAAGUCCCGCAACGAGCGCAACCCCUAUUGCCAGUUGCCAGCAGGUUAAGCUGGGCACUCUGGCGAGACUGCCGUUGACAAAACGGAGGAAGGUGGGACGACGUCAAAUCAUCAUGCCCCUUAUGUCCUGGGCUACACACGUACUACAAUGGCAACAACAGAGGGCGGCCAGACCGCGAGGUCGAGCGAAUCCCAAAAUGUUGUCUCAGUUCAGAUUGCAGGCUGAAACUCGCCUGCAUGAAGUCGGAAUUGCUAGUAAUGGCAGGUCAGCAUACUGCCGUGAAUACGUUCCCGGGCCUU